This 84-nucleotide transfer RNA is filed under the name Wajira albescens. RNAcentral describes it as "tRNA-Tyr". Lineage: Eukaryota; Viridiplantae; Streptophyta; Magnoliopsida; Fabales; Fabaceae. The record is from RNAcentral.
AUCUUUCUUACUCAAUUUCCAAAGUUUUUUGAUUUCCCGGCUUAGUAUUAGAUAUAAAUAUACCUAUCGAAUCUUAGUAUUAGU